Molecule: ribosomal RNA, 765 nt
Filed under: Pseudoglaridacris confusa
Lineage: Eukaryota; Metazoa; Platyhelminthes; Cestoda; Caryophyllidea; Caryophyllaeidae
Description: partial large subunit ribosomal RNA
Source: RNAcentral
AACCGAAUUAGCUAGAUCUCACUGCGGUUUGUGUGGUGAUUAGCGGGUAGCUUUAUAAAACCGCAGUGAGGGGUGAUAAAUGAGUCGAUAGCUAUUAUACCUGUUUUAGGGACUAUUAUUUCAGUACAGGAUGCCACCGAAGAGGAUGGAAUCCAAACUAUAUUCUUACUUGACAGUAAUAAUCCGAGGGUUAGGGUUACCCCCGGCUAGAAUUAAUGUUAAAAUUUUUUUCUUUUUGGGWGAAUUAGUGUUAGUGUCCUUAUACKGUACUUUUUGCAUUUAAGUAUGAGUUAAUUAGUAAUUAUAUUAAUCACAAUUUAUCUCUGUGCUAGUCCGACUGUUUAUUAAAAACAUUUCCGCGCGUUUGGGUUGCGCGGUAAAACCUGCCCUGUGAUUAUUUUAACGGCCGCAGUAUAUUGACUGUGCGAAGGUAGCAUAAUUAAUUGCCCCAUAAUUGGGGGCUUGUUUGAAUGGUUUCACGUGAUUAGGUUGUAAAAUUGUGAUUUUAGUUGAAUUUAAUUUGACGAGUACAGAAUCUGUCAAGGUUAAUAAGACGGAAAGACCCCGGGAUCUUUGAUUUUUGUCUGGGGCGGAUUUUGUUGGUUCAACAUGUUUAUGACCCGAAGUUUAAAGGUUUAAGUUACCCCGGGGAUAACAGUGUUAUAGCCUAUUAGAGUUCUUAUCGAGUAGGCUGAUUGCUACCUCGAUGUUGACUUGGGUGUUAUUAAAGGUGUAGUAGUUUUUAAUAGAGGUCUKUUCGACCUA